Molecule: ribosomal RNA, 438 nt
Filed under: Sabessebia zitanica
Lineage: Eukaryota; Metazoa; Mollusca; Gastropoda; Stylommatophora; Geomitridae
Description: Geomitridae gen n. sp. n. IKE-2020 partial large subunit ribosomal RNA
Rfam family: Bacterial large subunit ribosomal RNA
Source: RNAcentral
GCUAAGUGUAUUUAAUAUUUAGUUACGUCUGCUCAAUGAUUAUAACUUAAAUAGCCGCAGUACCUUGACUGUGCUAAGGUAGCAUAAUCAUUUGGCUUAUAAUUGAAGUCUGGCAUGAAUGAAUUUAUGGGGGACAACUGUCUCCUACAAUUAUUUUGAAAUUAUUUAGUAAGUGAAAAUACUUAUAUUUACAUAAUAGACGAGAAGACCCUAGAAAUUUUCUAUAGUAGGUUAAAUUAACCUUCAUAUUUUGUUGGGGCGACAGAAUAACAUAUAACUUAUUUUACUUUUGGGGAUUAUAUUGUAAGAUAAAAUAAAUUACUCUAGGGAUAACAGCAUAAUGUAUAAAAGUUUGUGACCUCGAUGUUGGACUAGGAUUUUUAAUAACCAGAAGUUUUUAAACUUAGCUCUGUUCGAGCUGUGUUUCCUACAUGAUCA